UCCCUGCUGGUCAUGUGGUUAAGACUCCACACUUCCACUGCAGGGGGCACAGGUUCAAUUCCUGUUUGGGGAA
RNAcentral lists this transfer RNA (73 nucleotides) under Bos taurus (domestic cattle). It matches the Rfam family "tRNA". From Rfam's summary of the family: Transfer RNA (tRNA) molecules are approximately 80 nucleotides in length. RNAcentral also lists the same sequence under 5 other names. The record is from Rfam by way of RNAcentral. Lineage: Eukaryota; Metazoa; Chordata; Mammalia; Artiodactyla; Bovidae.